Molecule: ribosomal RNA, 497 nt
Filed under: uncultured bacterium
Lineage: Bacteria
Description: partial 16S ribosomal RNA
Rfam family: Bacterial small subunit ribosomal RNA
Source: RNAcentral
GAUGAACGCUGGCGGCGUGCCUAAUACAUGCAAGUCGAGCGAACGGACGAGAAGCUUGCUUCUCUGAUGUUAGCGGCGGACGGGUGAGUAACACGUGGAUAACCUACCUAUAAGACUGGGAUAACUUCGGGAAACCGGAGCUAAUACCGGAUGAUAUUUUGAACCGCAUGGUUCAAAAGUGAAAGACGGUCUUGCUGUCACUUAUAGAUGGAUCCGCGCUGCAUUAGCUAGUUGGUAAGGUAACGGCUUACCAAGGCAACGAUGCAUAGCCGACCUGAGAGGGUGAUCGGCCACACUGUAACUGAGACACGGUCCAGACUCCUACGGGAGGCAGCAGUAGGGAAUCUUCCGCAAUGGGCGGAAGCCUGACGGAGCAACGCCGCGUGAGUGAUGAAGGUCUUCGGAUCGUAAAACUCUGUUAUUAGGGAAGAACAUAUGUGUAAGUAACUGUGCACAUCUUGACGGUACCUAAUCAGAAAGCCACGGCUAACUACGUG